GGAGUUUGGACCGUGUCUCAGUUCCAAUGUGGCCGUUCACCCUCUCAGGCCGGCUAUUGAUCGUUGCUUUGGUAGGCCGUUACCCUACCAACUGGCUAAUCAAACGCGGGUCCAUCCUUAAGCGAAAUUCUUUUCCUCACAAAGUCAUGCGACUUCGUAAGCAUAUGGUGUAUUAGCACUGAUUUCUCAAUGUUAUUCCCCUCUUAAGGGCAGGUUACCCACGCGUUACUCACCCGUCCGCCACUAGAAUUCUCAUAUCUUUGACCGAAGUCUCCGUUAUGAGGUUCCCGUUCGACUUGCAUGUGUUAGGCACGCCGCCAGCGUUCAUC
RNAcentral lists this ribosomal RNA (329 nucleotides) under uncultured Lachnospiraceae bacterium. RNAcentral's name for it is "partial 16S ribosomal RNA". The record is from RNAcentral. Lineage: Bacteria; Bacillati; Bacillota; Clostridia; Lachnospirales; Lachnospiraceae.